This 72-nucleotide transfer RNA is filed under the name Marmota monax (woodchuck). It matches the Rfam family "tRNA". From Rfam's summary of the family: Transfer RNA (tRNA) molecules are approximately 80 nucleotides in length. Their secondary structure includes four short double-helical elements and three loops (D, anti-codon, and T loops). The record is from Rfam by way of RNAcentral. Lineage: Eukaryota; Metazoa; Chordata; Mammalia; Rodentia; Sciuridae.
UGGGGUGUGGCUCAGUAGUAGAGUGCAUGCCUAGCAUGCGUGAGGCACUGGGUUCGAUCCUCAGCACCGCAU